GGACCGGCCGCCAUUUUGCUGUUGAGCGGCGGCCGUGAGGAUGCGGAUCCGCCGCGAUGUGGAGGCCGAGGGCCGCGGUGCGGAGCCGGUUGGGGUUGGGGGUGCUGUGUCUCCUUGGAUGGGCUGAAGGCUCUUGGCCUUCCUGAGGUGUGAGAGCCCACAGAGGCCAUUGCAGCUUCUGAUACGCAGCAGAGACAGAGCAUCCCCGGCACCUCUUGGACAGAGCUGACAGCCUACCACCUCAUGAAGAACAUAUUGAAAGAAACCAGCUAGGCCAGGUGAGAACUACCUUCUGGUCUGCAAUCCAAAACCAAACCUUCAGAGCACAUCUGAGCCCUGACAUCAAUAACUGGGUGUGGAUGAACUGCUGGAGGUUUGUGCUCUGCUGUACUGCAUCAACAGCCCCAUGAGGGAAUGCAGGAGGAUGAAGGAAACACUCAUCUGCAAACCAAAUGGCUCCUUAGUGCUGAAAUCCCUCUAAGUGCUCUCUGGGUAGUACUGAAGGAGUCUGGGAUAACUGGGGGCUGUAUUGGUAGAGCCACAGAUUAUAAAGCACUAGGAGAAUAUUUGGGGAAUUACCACCUUAACAUUGCUCUAACUCUGAGCACCCACAGCUGGCCAUUACCACAGGCAAGGCCAGAUGAUCUUGCAGUCUUUCAUCCAUGGAUUUCUCAAAUAAAUGCCAUGUGUACAGUGAAGACAAUUGAUGCCCUCCUAUUGAUGCCCUACCCAAAAUGUCUGACUAGAGAAAUAAUAAAACUAACAAAACAACAUGCCGUGUUUAAAACCAUCCAGUUCUACACAGUGUACUAAAUAAAAGCACAGUAAUGCAUCUCAUCUUCUAAUUUCCAGCAUAAUACAUAACCCGUUACAUCUAAAGGAACUGCCUCCCUUUGACAAGGGCAAAAAACUGCAGGUAUUUUCCCAAGGCUGACAGUUAUGCAGUUCCAAGCAGGGCCACGAGUCUAGGUCUGAUCAGUCCCCAACUCCUCUGCAUCUUAAAUGAUACAUUAAUUAGCACUUGUCCAAUAACUGACAAACUCAGUGAAAGAUAUCUGUGACAUCGAAAAGCUGCCUACCCAUUUCUACCCUCUGUGUUAAGUUUCAUCAAUAAUCUUCUUCAUGAGGAACACAACAGUCUUCAGAAUUCUUUCUGUGUCACAGACAGAAAAGGCUUUGGGGACAGAUAUAUUCUAUUUUCUUUCACUAAUGCUGUAAAUAAACUCUCAAGGCACAGCUGCAGUGUUUUACUGCAUUUAACCCAGAAAUUCACUGACUAUGCAGUUAUGUACACGCUCAGCUCUGUACCCAAUUCAUCCAAAGCAGAAUCUCAUUAUUCUCACCUCCCAGGCAAUGAAUGAAGAAUCAGGAAAGCAAUUUCAGAUGCCAGUAGUCUCCGUUCACUGUACAAGCUCUAAUCCCUUGCAAUCUCUUGCCAAAGCAGCUUUUAACAGGGCAUACAUUUAAAACACUGCAUGAGCAUUUAAUUAAGCUUCCCGUAACUCUGAUGAUUACUUAUCUGGUAAUGAGAGGCACACUGGGGACUCUUGCUGCAGCUUUGUUUUCUUUCCUUUUGUAGUAAUUAGCAUAGACAUUUUCAUCAUCCAUAUUUUGAAGAAAAUCCUCUUAUGUAUUUGCUAGAGGCAAAGAGGAAGCUCUCCUUGACUUCUGUAUGCGAGCUUCAGCUCUUUAGGAAUUUAAUUGGUAUCAUUUUGCUACUGCUAAUAAUCAAUGGGGAGCCGUACCAGUAAAAGUACUGUUGACCAAAACAAUAGAAAGCUACAAUUUAACAUGGAUAAGAUUAAAUGUGGCUAUAGUAGAAGCAAAAAAAACCAUCUUUCCUAAUGAUAUCCACUACAAGAACACCACCCCAGAUACUCUGAAUUACUUCACAUCUGGAUACAGUGCUUCAACAGCAAAGUAUACGACCUCUAAAUCAAUAUGCAUGAGAAAAGCACGUCCUCCUGUCUAGCUGAACAACAGCCUGACUUGUCCUGGUAGAAUCAGCAAUUAAAGAGACACUUGAAGUCAUCUGCGCUUCUCUACUGUGUUUUUUCAAUCUAGAAUUGUAUCCUUAAUAGAUCCUGGAUAAUCUUACUUCAGCUGCUUUUAUUUACAACCAAUAUUUAAAUAGCUAAAUGUGCAUGCACUGCUUUCAUUUUCUCUUGACUUCCUUCCUACCUGUGUUUUUCCCUUUUCCAUCCUUACUGAAGUUGGAAACAUUUUUACUUUUACUCUGGGAGCCGUUCUCCUAUGCCCUUUUUUAUUCCAAGUGCUCCUCUUUUGAAAGGUGAAAGUGGUAGAUCCUGUACUGUUACCAAGGGGAGGAGAAACAAACUAAGAUGGAACGAUCUCAUAGUCAUUAACUAUGCAUAUUUUCCCUUCUUUUAACUAAAAUAUACCCAAGAACUUCUUGAAGAGGUCCAGUUACAAGCAAACUAAGUGUGAUCUUGGACUAAAACCUUGCUCCAUAACAGCCUUUCUUAGAACAUAAUUUGCAAUGAUCCUCCUCUAAGCUCUUCAAACCCGUGUUAGUUUUAACCUAACAGCACAGAUAGGUCUGUUUGUAGUCUUGGCCACAAAACUGUUUGAUGUUAACAAUUUUAUUUGCUUAGGGCAAACACUGGGAUCAAACCCCACCUACAAAUAUCAUCCCAUUUAAGACAGAGUUUUCAUUUGGAGGAAACAAAUUUAGAUUUAUAGUUAAGAGGUUUGGGCAAAAAUGGACUGAAAAGAUUUAUGUAAUGCUUUCUAGUACGCCAUUGAAGAAAGAGAUCUCUGAAUAAAUGAAGAAGAAACACCAUGAAGUGGAAGGGAACGUUAAAGACAGAAAAAAAAGACGAGAAACAGUACUUGGAGAGACAGGAUGAAGAAAAACUGGGAAAGGUGAAGAGCACAGCACUGCUUUUUCCUGUACAUGAAAGCAGUUCAACAACAUUGUGAUUUGAGACAAGAAAGGGUGCGAGGAAGCACAGUUAGAAGCAGGGAUAAAUGCUUCAAGUCUUAAAAGUGAGUUUUUCCAGUAUUAAAUACAGAAUAAAGAACUACUGCUGUCAAGCAUUGAUUCACCAUAUAGCUGUAGCACAUCAUCCUCACUGAGAGGUCCAACCUGGAACCAGCACACAUUGCAGUGAGAUGAUAUGGCCCAUGAAGACCACUGCCCUAACAGACAGUCAGAGGUGCUGUGAAUCUUAUUUCUACCCUCACAGAUGGGCAGAGCCUGUGGACUUCUCCAUUCCAGCCCCCUGCACACUUCUGCUACGCAGCACAUUAGCAUGAGAAGACCACAGCAGCGGGAGGUGGUUCAGAACAAAGAGGUGUGCUCCAUGAAACAACACCUUCCAAAAGCACAACUUACUUUACAUAACAUGACUUUGAGUGAAGAGGAUAAGAAAACCAGGCACAGCACUCACAAGCUGUUGGUCAGCAGGUAAGAAACAGCUUUCACUCAGAUUUGCUCACAACAGCCCAGAUUACCUGUAUUUUCCCCAUCCUCACCAUUUUAUUUUGUGCUCUGCUACCAAACUAGAAUUUGAGCGUCAUGGUGGGGUUCUGGAUUAAAUUAAAUGAAAGAAAUUUAAGCUUUAAGGAACACUGGCAGCACAUUGGGUUUAGUUAAAGCUUAAAAUCCAAAUCCAGAAAGAAAACAAGAUUUUGAUACAAUAUGCUGCAGCAAUCUAGAAUGCCUCAAAGAAAAUCUAAUUAGAACACUCCAUGACACAGAAAUACCUUGAAGCUCCAGGAGAUGUGUUGGUAAAGUUGGUGAGAAAGAGGAGAAGAAACAGCAUUUCAGGUAUUAUAGAAAUUGGAAGGUUAAAAUUUAUGUAUUAUUUCCCUAGAAUUUGUUGAGUUGGCAUGAACUUCCAUAUACCUGCUUUGAAACCCUGAAAUCUCCAUUCUGCAUCCUGGCUCUCAAUCCAGAAGUGCAACAAAACUUACAAUAACUCUGAAUAUAUUUCCACUGCUUCCCUAGGCAAAUUUUUAUGUUCAGUGGAGUAAAAUUGCCAGCUCUCCCAGGUUAUACAUCAAUUACCAGAUCCAUAGAAUGUGCUACAUUUGCCAAUUGCUGAAGUAUUCAAGUGCAUUUUAUGCCACACAAAAUUAAACAGAUUAUUAAGAGCGCAGAGAUGUUCUGACUCAGCACAGAAACUGUUUUUUCCCCCCCAAGUACUUAAAAUGUCAUAUAAACAGGAAGUCAAUUAGGUAUCAGGAAAUUCCAGAGCAUUUAACUCAAAGAAAGCCUAGAUUAAAGGAUACCAUUAACAUAUCAUCCUAAGGCAAAGGUCUGCCACUUAGAACACCUUGGCCUCGAUUACCUCAAAUGUAACUUGGGGGAUAACUAUUUGAUGUGUAGAGAUUGAGCACCAUUCUCCUUUUUAAGGGGAAAAAAAGAUAUCAAAAAGAGCACGGACAAAUAUUUGAUCAUAUCAAGAAGUGAAUCAACCUCAGGGAAACUCGUUGCUUUACUACAAAUAAAACUCCAUCAGUCACUA
Coturnix japonica (Japanese quail) is the source of this 4493-nucleotide non-coding RNA. Lineage: Eukaryota; Metazoa; Chordata; Aves; Galliformes; Phasianidae. The record is from RefSeq and is a predicted model, not a curated record.